Molecule: long non-coding RNA, 2882 nt
Organism: Myotis brandtii (Brandt's bat)
Lineage: Eukaryota; Metazoa; Chordata; Mammalia; Chiroptera; Vespertilionidae
Exons: 2
Source: RefSeq, a predicted model, not a curated record
UCAGAUUCUUCAGGGUAUUUGACAUGCCCAGGUCUGUGCUGAGGUCUGACAUACGGGAACUUGAAGAUUUGGUACCUGCUCUAAUUCCCGUUUUGCUAACACGCAGGAAACAUUUGCCUCAGGGACGAGAGCAGUCUCAGGGCAUCUCAGGGCAGCUGGACCUCAGUGAGGUCAUGGUGCUGACUGAGAUAAGACUCAGGUCGUCAGGGUUGGGAGGCAUUUGGGUAGGGAGCGGCAGUGUGGGCAAAGGCUUGGUGUGGGGUGCAUUGAGGAGAGCCGCUGGCCGCAGCAGAGUGCAGAUAGAACGAGGAAGAAUAAGCAAAGGUUGCCCUAGGUACAACGGGGCGGCUUGAAGAACCCUCAGAGUCCACAGAAAAGUUGGACUUGUUAGGACUCAACACGGUGGGCAACAGGGAGCCGUGGAAGGCUCUUGGGCAGAGAAAUGACAACUGGACCCUCAGAAAGAAAAACCUAUUCCUAUGGAGCAUUGCAGUCGGCCCUCUGAGCACGCCAGGCAGGAGUGUGCAGGGAGCUGGUGCAAAUGCCUCCUGUAUGCGGGCGAGCUUCUGUGUUGUGACUCGGGCCACACGCGUGCUUCAGUGUGCCAAGUGGCUGCAUGCCCCGGAUCCAUGCUGCACGUGCCAGCCAGUGCGGGUGCGGGGCAGUGGGAGGUGGGAGAGGUGUAUGCGUGUUGUUUGUGGGCAUGUGUGUCAGCGUGUGCAUGCGGGGCUGUGGGGCCUCACAGCAUUGUGUGCACGCCCGUGCGUGUGUGUGAGCGUGUCCGCCACCCCCAGGCCCGCCCUGUCCGUGCGUGUGAACUGCCAUGUUGAUUUCGUGCUGUCUUUCAGAAUCACUAUCAGUGACCCCUGAGGAGCGUCAGCCACGCUGCUCUCUCACCUCCCUUCUCAGCGAGCCUCGGGACUCAGUGCCACUGCCCGGGAUCCCCGUGGCUGAGCCUGGGGGGCUCUCGGGACAGGCUCCGCACCCGAGCUGGCAGACGUGGGUGUUCUCCAGCGCGGCCAGAGGGCAGAGAGCUCGUGGCUUAGGGUGUAGGGGCAGGGAGCUUGGGCUCAGGCAGCCUUGGAACUUCACCCUGGGGUGCCAUACUCGCUCCCCAGUCUGAGCCGUGCUGCUGGGGCAGGACGGCCAGCUCGCAGCCGUGGAGCAAUAGGACCCGAAUCCACCAGAGGGCAGAGUCCCACCUCUAUUGUGCAGUGAUCUGGGGAGAAGGCUCUGGUUGGUUGAUGAUUUCUGAAAGCCUCGGGGUCCUAUCCACACCAUCAGCCCAGAACACACCUCACAGGCGAGGCAGGGUCCCGCAGCCCCUUCCCCUGCCUCCUUGGUGUUGUCACGCCUGGGAGUGCACGACUGAAGGCAGCGUUCUCAGCCCCAGGUGCAGCACCCAGCCAGCCCCAGGGCUCACAGACCUGGGCCUGUUGCUCCUAGAGGCGGCCCACACUUUCCAGCCAGGGGGACGGCAGUGUCUGCUGACCUGGGCAGGUCAGCCUCUCUGAGUUCCAUCCCGGCUGGGCCGCGGAACUCGCCCAGCGAACCCGCCCGCCACUCUGUCCCUGCCGCUGACUCUCAUUCUUCUGCUUUUCCCCAGCAGGAAGGGCCCAGCCUCACCUACGCGACCUGCGGUCCCCCGACCACCUGAGGCUCCCCUCUUAGACUUAUAAGCCUGUGGCCACUGGCAUCCAGCUGCCUGUCCUCCACUCCCCAGGGUCCCUUCAGAGGACUCCUGAGCUUUCUGCCCACCCGGAGAGGCCUCCAGGGCUCCCUCCAGCCAUCCUUUUAGCUUUGCCCUCCUGGUUGAAACAGUGUUCUUUCUCCUGUCUUUUCCAUCAGGCCUGGUGGCUGUUGCCUGGGGCUCAGAGCCCCAUCCUCCCUGAGGCUAGUGGUGGCCUGGGCCAGUGAGUUGAGGAUAGGGAACCACAGGAGGAGGAAGCCAGAGGGGGCUGAGCAUGUGUCUGGAGCUGUGGGUGCACUGCCUGGUGGUGUGUGAGAGACCAGCGUGCGUGGCGGGGGAGGGCCACCCCAGCCUCCAGCCCAGACCCCACAGAGCUCUGGCCCCGCCCAUCUCCAGCUCCUCCCUUCCACCUUCCCUUUCUUGCCUCUCCCCUCUCUUCCAGAAUCCUUGCCCACACCUUCGCCUGCAUCUUCUUCCCCUGCCCUCCCCUCACACGCCUGCGGGCUCAGCUGCCCUUGCCUUACCAGCUCUCUCCCUCCUCUCUCCUGUUCUGUUUCCUCUCCAACUGCCAGCCGAUCGGGUCAGGCAAGUCCAUCCCGUCCUGAGAGCCCCAGGCCCCCCUUCGACCUCUAACCAGAUCCCUCUAUUCCUCGGAGACUUCUCUUUCCAAGCCUUCCUGGACGGCUGUUCUGUGACUUGACAGUGGCUCCCUGGCCCCAAAGCCUCCCCCUUCAUCUGUGACUUAGUCUGUUGUAGUGGUGAGCUGACACACCCAGCGUGACGUUGGUGAAACUUGUGCCCCUCUGUGGUAUUUCUCCUGCUCCGUUCUAUAAAUAACUAUAAAUAACCAUAUAUUAUACAUAUAUAUAUAUACACGCACACAGAUAUGGCUGCCACAGUCUCACCUCUAGUGCUGGGAAUUACCGUGCUGUCCUUGAGGAGUCUUGUGACCCAACUAUAAGGGAACACAGUCACCCUGAAAUCCUCCUCCAAAGCGUGCCACCUCCGAUGAGCUUCCCUGUCAUGCCCACCCAGCCUGUGACAGCCAGCCCCCUCUGCUGCCAUCCCACCCCUCCCUCCUCCUGCGCAGGGGUGCUGUAUUGGCAGCUGCGUGGUUCUCUGACUGCUACCAGUCUUACUGUCUCUUGGCUGAGAAUAAAUAAAACCCAUUUCUGGACAAUGGGGAAAAGUG